CAUUCACGGAGAGUUUGAUCCUGGCUCAGGACGAACGCUGGCGGCGUGCUUAACACAUGCAAGUCGAACGAUGAAGCCCUUCGGGGUGGAUUAGAGGCGAACGGGUGAGUAAUACGUGGGCAAUUUGCCCUGCACUCUGGGACAAGCCCUGGAAACGGGGUCUAAUACCGGAUAUGACACACGACCGCAUGGUCUGUGUGUGGAAAGCUCCGGCGGUGCAGGAUGAGCCCGCGGCCUAUCAGCUUGUUGGUGGGGUAAUGGCCUACCAAGGCGACGACGGGUAGCCGGCCUGAGAGGGCGACCGGCCACACUGGGACUGAGACACGGCCCAAGACUCCUACGGGAGGCAGCAGUGGGGAAUAUUGACAAUGGGCGCAAAGCCUGAUGCAGCGACGCCGCGUGAGUGAUGACUGCCU
RNAcentral lists this ribosomal RNA (416 nucleotides) under Streptomyces rimosus. RNAcentral's name for it is "bacterial SSU rRNA". It matches the Rfam family "Bacterial small subunit ribosomal RNA", at positions 1 to 417 of the family's 1533-position model. Lineage: Bacteria; Bacillati; Actinomycetota; Actinomycetes; Kitasatosporales; Streptomycetaceae. The record is from RNAcentral.